RNAcentral lists this non-coding RNA (215 nucleotides) under Acholeplasma oculi. RNAcentral describes it as "T-box sequence". It matches the Rfam family "T-box leader". Rfam says of the family: Uncharged tRNA acts as the effector for transcription antitermination of genes in the T-box leader family. T-boxes are found upstream of many aminoacyl-tRNA synthetase genes and some amino acid biosynthetic genes usually in Gram-positive bacteria. The anticodon of a specific tRNA base pairs to a specifier sequence within the T-box motif, and the NCCA acceptor tail of the tRNA base pairs to a conserved bulge in the T-box antiterminator hairpin. The record is from RNAcentral. Lineage: Bacteria; Bacillati; Mycoplasmatota; Mollicutes; Acholeplasmatales; Acholeplasmataceae.
AAGAAAGCUAUGAAUUGAAGAGUAGUUUAAGUUAAUGAUUAAAGAGACAAGUUGGUUGGUGAGAAACUUGAUAUUACUUAGAUGAAAGUCCUCAAGGAGCUGUUAAAGUGAACAUGAAGUAACUUUAUACCGUUUAACUUACGUUACAAGUAUGAUGAGUGCACAGUAAUUCACUGUGAACUAAGGUGGUACCGCGGAUUUUAUUCGCCCUUAGA